This 87-nucleotide transfer RNA is filed under the name Flavobacteriales bacterium. Its description in RNAcentral is "tRNA-Leu". It matches the Rfam family "tRNA". Rfam says of the family: Transfer RNA (tRNA) molecules are approximately 80 nucleotides in length. Their secondary structure includes four short double-helical elements and three loops (D, anti-codon, and T loops). Further hydrogen bonds mediate the characteristic L-shaped molecular structure. tRNAs have two regions of fundamental functional importance: the anti-codon, which is responsible for specific mRNA codon recognition, and the 3' end, to which the tRNAs corresponding amino acid is attached (by aminoacyl-tRNA synthetases). tRNAs cope with the degeneracy of the genetic code in two manners: having more than one tRNA (with a specific anti-codon) for a particular amino acid; and 'wobble' base-pairing, i.e. permitting non-standard base-pairing at the 3rd anti-codon position. The record is from RNAcentral. Lineage: Bacteria; Pseudomonadati; Bacteroidota; Flavobacteriia; Flavobacteriales.
GCCCGAGUGGUGGAAUUGGUAGACACGCAAGACUUAAAAUCUUGUGAACAUUUGUUCGUGCGGGUUCAAGUCCCGCCUCGGGUACCA